Molecule: ribosomal RNA, 301 nt
Filed under: uncultured bacterium
Lineage: Bacteria
Description: partial 16S ribosomal RNA
Rfam family: Bacterial small subunit ribosomal RNA
Source: RNAcentral
CAGCCGCCACGGUAAUACGUAGGGUGCGAGCGUUAAUCGGAAUUACUGGGCGUAAAGCGUGCGCAGGCGGUUCGUUAAGACAGAUGUGAAAUCCCCGGGCUUAACCUGGGAACUGCAUUUGUGACUGGCGAGCUAGAGUAUGGCAGAGGGGGGUAGAAUUCCACGUGUAGCAGUGAAAUGCGUAGAGAUGUGGAGGAAUACCGAUGGCGAAGGCAGCCCCCUGGGCCAAUACUGACGCUCAUGCACGAAAGCGUGGGGAGCAAACAGGAUUAGAUACCCCUGUAGUCCCUGUCUCUUAUAC